Molecule: ribosomal RNA, 253 nt
Filed under: uncultured bacterium
Lineage: Bacteria
Description: partial 16S ribosomal RNA
Rfam family: Bacterial small subunit ribosomal RNA
Source: RNAcentral
UAGCGAAGGGGGCUAGCGUUGCUCGGAAUCACUGGGCGUAAAGGGUGCGUAGGCGGGUCUUAAGUCAGGGGUGAAAUCCUGGAGCUCAACUCCAGAACUGCCUUUGAUACUGAGGAUCUUGAGUUCGGGAGAGGUGAGUGGAACUGCGAGUGUAGAGGUGAAAUCGUAGAUAUUCGCAAGAACACCAGUGGCGAAGGCGGCUCACUGGCCCGUUACUGACGCUGAGGCACGAAAGGCGUGGGGAGCAAACAGG